RNAcentral lists this small RNA (107 nucleotides) under Marmota monax (woodchuck). The record is from RNAcentral. Lineage: Eukaryota; Metazoa; Chordata; Mammalia; Rodentia; Sciuridae.
GCUGGACACAGUGGUGCAUGCCUGUAAUCCCAGCUACUCCGGAGGCUGAGGCAGGAGGAUUGCAAGUUUGAGGUUGGUCUUGGCAACUUAUCAAGAACCUGUCUGUU